CCUACGGGAGGCAGCAGUGAGGAAUAUUGGUCAAUGGCCGUAAGGCUGAACCAGCCAAGUCGCGUGAAGGAAGAAGGAUCUAUGGUUUGUAAACUUCUUUUAUCGGGGAAUAAAGGUAUCCACGUGUGGAUAUUUGCAUGUACCCUAUGAAUAAGCAUCGGCUAACUCCGUGCCAGCAGCCGCGGUAAUACGGAGGAUGCGAGCGUUAUCCGGAUUUAUUGGGUUUAAAGGGUGCGUAGGUUGUUUUUUAAGUCAGCGGUGAAAGUUUGUGGCUCAACCAUAAAAUUGCCGUUGAAACUGGAAGACUUGAGUGUGUUUGAGGUAGGCGGAAUGCGUGGUGUAGCGGUGAAAUGCAUAGAUAUCACGCAGAACUCCGAUUGCGAAGGCAGCUUACUAAGCCAUAACUGACACUGAAGCACGAAAGCGUGGGGAGCAAACAGGAUUAGAUACCCGAGUAGUC
This 460-nucleotide ribosomal RNA is filed under the name uncultured bacterium. Its description in RNAcentral is "partial 16S ribosomal RNA". It matches the Rfam family "Bacterial small subunit ribosomal RNA", at positions 338 to 795 of the family's 1533-position model. The record is from RNAcentral.